GAUGAACGCUAGCGGCAGGCCUAACACAUGCAAGUAGAACGCUGAAGGAGGAGCUUACUUCUCUGGAUGAGUUGCGAACGGGUGAGUAACGCGUAGGUAACCUGCCUGGUAGCGGGGGAUAACUAUUGGAAACGAUAGCUAAUACCGCAUAAGAGUAGAUGUUGCAUGACAUUUACUUAAAAGGUGCAAUUGCACCACUACCAGAUGGACCUGCGUUGUAUUAGCUAGUUGGUGGGGUAACGGCUUACCAAGGCGACGAUACAUAGCCGACCUGAGAGGGUGAUCGGCCACACUGGGACUGAGACACGGCCCAGACUCCUACGGGAGGCAGCAGUAGGGAAUCUUCGGCAAUGGACGGAAGUCUGACCGAGCAACGCCGCGUGAGUGAAGAAGGUUUUCGGAUCGUAAAGCUCUGUUGUAAGAGAAGAACGAGUGUGAGAGUGGAAAGUUCACACUGUGACGGUAUCUUACCAGAAAGGGACGGCUAACUACGUGCCAGCAGCCGCAGUAA
Molecule: ribosomal RNA, 511 nt
Filed under: uncultured bacterium
Lineage: Bacteria
Description: partial 16S ribosomal RNA
Rfam family: Bacterial small subunit ribosomal RNA
Source: RNAcentral